This 89-nucleotide non-coding RNA is filed under the name Pedobacter antarcticus. Its description in RNAcentral is "Sphingobacterium antarcticus TPP sequence". It matches the Rfam family "TPP riboswitch aptamer (THI element)". From Rfam's summary of the family: Vitamin B(1) in its active form thiamin pyrophosphate (TPP) is an essential coenzyme that is synthesised by coupling of pyrimidine and thiazole moieties in bacteria. The previously detected thiamin-regulatory element, thi box was extended, resulting in a new, highly conserved RNA secondary structure, the THI element, which is widely distributed in eubacteria and also occurs in some archaea. Analysis of operon structures identified a large number of new candidate thiamin-regulated genes, mostly transporters, in various prokaryotic organisms. The record is from RNAcentral. Lineage: Bacteria; Pseudomonadati; Bacteroidota; Sphingobacteriia; Sphingobacteriales; Sphingobacteriaceae. RNAcentral also lists the same sequence under 1 other name.
AAAAAACUUUAGGGGUGCCUUUGUGCUGAGAAAUACCCUUUGAACCUGAUGCAGUUAGUACUGCCGAAGGGAAAAGUGGAAACGACAUG